Molecule: transfer RNA, 68 nt
Filed under: Nipponeurorthus fuscinervis
Lineage: Eukaryota; Metazoa; Arthropoda; Insecta; Neuroptera; Nevrorthidae
Description: tRNA-Tyr
Source: RNAcentral
GGUAAAAUGGCUGAUUUAGGCAAUAAACUGUAAAUUUAUUUAUGAGAAAAAAUUAUUCUCUUUUAUCA